RNAcentral lists this ribosomal RNA (252 nucleotides) under uncultured Citrobacter sp. RNAcentral's name for it is "partial 16S ribosomal RNA". It matches the Rfam family "Bacterial small subunit ribosomal RNA", at positions 99 to 354 of the family's 1533-position model. The record is from RNAcentral. Lineage: Bacteria; Pseudomonadati; Pseudomonadota; Gammaproteobacteria; Enterobacterales; Enterobacteriaceae.
CGGACGGGUGAGUAAUGUCUGGGAAACUGCCCGAUGGAGGGGAUAACUACUGGAAACGGUAGCUAAUACCGCAUAACGUCGCAAGACCAAAGAGGGGACCUUCGGGCCUCUUGCCAUCGGAUGUGCCCAGAUGGGAUUAGCUAGUAGGUGGGGUAACGGCUCACCUAGGCGACGAUCCCUAGCUGGUCUGAGAGGAUGACCAGCCACACUGGAACUGAGACACGGUCCAGACUCCUACGGGAGGCAGCAGGG